Molecule: ribosomal RNA, 265 nt
Filed under: uncultured bacterium
Lineage: Bacteria
Description: partial 16S ribosomal RNA
Rfam family: Bacterial small subunit ribosomal RNA
Source: RNAcentral
UGGGGAAUAUUGGGCAAUGGGGGCAACCCUGACCCAGCGACGCCGCGUGGGGAAAGACGGCCUUCGGGUUGUAAACCUCUUUUGUACGGGAAGAAGGAAGUGACGGUACUGUACGAAUAAGUCCCGGCUAACUACGUGCCAGCAGCCGCGGUAAUACGUAGGGGACCAGCGUUGUCCGGAAUUACUGGGCGUAAAGGACGCGCAGGCUGUGCUGCAAGUCAGCUGUUAAAUGUCUGGGCUUAACCCGGGCAUGCGGUUGAGACUG